This 71-nucleotide transfer RNA is filed under the name Phrynosoma platyrhinos (Desert horned lizard). RNAcentral describes it as "tRNA-OTHER". The record is from RNAcentral. Lineage: Eukaryota; Metazoa; Chordata; Lepidosauria; Squamata; Phrynosomatidae.
ACCAGUGUGGCAUAGUGGUUUGAGCACUGGACUAUGACUCUGGAUAUCAGGGUUCAAAUCCCCCCUUGGCC